Molecule: ribosomal RNA, 253 nt
Filed under: uncultured bacterium
Lineage: Bacteria
Description: partial 16S ribosomal RNA
Rfam family: Bacterial small subunit ribosomal RNA
Source: RNAcentral
UACGUAGGGUGCGAGCGUUAAUCGGAAUUACUGGGCGUAAAGCGUGCGCAGGCGGGUUGGUAAGACAGAUGUGUAAUUCCCGGGCUUAACCUGGGAACUGCAUUUGUGACCGCCAGGCUAGAGUGCGGCAGAGGGGAGUGGAAUUCCGCGUGUAGCAGUGAAAUGCGUAGAUAUGCGGAGGAACACUGAUGGCGAAGGCAACUCCCUGGGCCUGCUCUGACGCUCAUGAACGAAAGCGUGGGGAGCAAACAGG